UCAUAAACAUCUAAGUUGAAUGUUUAUGACGUUGAAUAUCAACAUCAUAAACAUCUAAGUUGAAUGUUUAUAACGUUAAAUAUCAACGUCAUAAACAUUCAACUUAGAUGUUUAUGACGGCGAUAUUCGACGUCAUAAACACGAUCAAUCAACUUAGAUGUUUAUGA
This 167-nucleotide microRNA precursor is filed under the name Paramuricea clavata. Lineage: Eukaryota; Metazoa; Cnidaria; Anthozoa; Malacalcyonacea; Plexauridae. The record is from RNAcentral.